GCAAAAGAAUCUACGUAUCUCAACGAAAUGAAUCAUAACAAGUGGGCGAAGCAAAAUCACCCGCCCGCUCGUGUUGAAGCUAGGGUGGUCACCAUAACUUCAGGCCUCCCAUCUCCCUGGGCAGAUGAAGCCGACCAUGAAGCGACGUCGGAUGAAGCAGGAUCGUUCUUCAAGAAGACAACUGCAAUCAGUGAUAAUUUUCCCACUUUGUAAGCUGCAUUGCGAGCUAUAGAAAGCAAUGAGUGGAGGCUGGUGUUGGAUUGAAGGUUCCAAGAACAGGGCACCAAAAGCCAAGGGUAUAUGUUGUUGCUAAUUUAGUUCCAACAGCUCAUUUUGGGAGAGUAGCCUUGUGCAGUUCGGCAUAUGUGAGUUGGUUCUCUGGUGAAAAUGCUCAUGUUUAUAUGUACAGGGGGCUGGAGGUGGAUGGGCUAGAUGUGAAGGCAUUGUUGAACUUUGCAUAAAGCAGCUGCCUGGUUCAAUGUAUUGUUUUUUGGUUCUUUUGAAAUCAUAAUGAGCCGCUAAGCAAAUCGAACCAGUGUGACUGUUACAAGACUGUAAAUGCCACGCGAAGGCAGCAGGCGAUUUUUUUCUCCCCACCUGAAUUUUUUUAGGUUUACAAAAAAGAAACAUAAACUUUUAGUCCUCAA
Rhipicephalus microplus (southern cattle tick) is the source of this 647-nucleotide long non-coding RNA. Lineage: Eukaryota; Metazoa; Arthropoda; Arachnida; Ixodida; Ixodidae. The record is from RefSeq and is a predicted model, not a curated record.